Molecule: ribosomal RNA, 468 nt
Filed under: uncultured bacterium
Lineage: Bacteria
Description: partial 16S ribosomal RNA
Rfam family: Bacterial small subunit ribosomal RNA
Source: RNAcentral
GACGAACGCUGGCGGCGUGCUUAACACAUGCAAGUCGAACGGAAAGGCCCUGCUUUUGUGGGGUGCUCGAGUGGCGAACGGGUGAGUAACACGUGAGUAACCUGCCCUUGACUUUGGGAUAACUUCAGGAAACUGGGGCUAAUACCGGAUAGGAGCUCCUGCUGCAUGGUGGGGGUUGGAAAGUUUCGGCGGUUGGGGAUGGACUCGCGGCUUAUCAGCUUGUUGGUGGGGUAGUGGCUUACCAAGGCUUUGACGGGUAGCCGGCCUGAGAGGGUGACCGGCCACAUUGGGACUGAGGUACGGACCAGAGUCCUACGGGGGGCAGCGGUGGGGAAUAUUACACAGUGGGCGGAAGCCUGGUGCAGCAACGCCGCGUGCGGGAAGAGGGCCUUCGGGGUGUAAACCGCUUUCGCCUGAGACGAAGCGUGAGUGACGGUAAUGGGUAAAGAAGCACCGGCUAACUACGUG